This is a long non-coding RNA of Coregonus clupeaformis (lake whitefish), 793 nucleotides long. RefSeq lists it as uncharacterized. The record is from RefSeq and is a predicted model, not a curated record. The transcript has 5 exons. NCBI's taxonomy places the organism in Eukaryota, Metazoa, Chordata, Actinopteri, Salmoniformes, Salmonidae.
UAACCAUAAAGGAAAUUUGAAUCGUUCCUGUGUGAACUGCUUGAAAGGUGUUGUCACCUUCCUCAACUUCAUCUGCUGGUUGUGUCGUGCCUUCAUGGUGGGUUUUGGAGAGUUCCAGAUGAUGCACUCUAGAUUUGUCUCCCUCAUCACAUUCUUAUGCCCCAUCAACCCUGCCAACACCCUGGUAGUCACGGAAACCAUCGUGACCUGUGUGUGUUACCUGGGAAUCAUGGGGCCCCUGAAGGAAAACCGUUGUAUGCUCAUCACUUUUAGGUGCUGUGGGGGUCCAUGGUGUGGCAGACUGGGAGGGCAAUGUGCCCCUGUCCUGCUGUACCAGAGACUCCUGUAACAUUAUCCUCCAACCUAACUGGCAGGAGGGCUGUCAUAUGAAGCUCAGGAACUGGUUUGCGAGGAACUUUCUCAGCACUAGAGCAGGUGUCGUCUCCCUGUGUAUUCUACAUUUGAUUUGCCUGUGUUUCACAGUCCCCAGCUUCUGACACUUCAGUCGUAAUGGAUAUGGUUACAAGUAAAAGAAGAACCCAUGACUUUCAACUGGCUUAUUACGCAAAACAGGAUCUCAUUCACUUGAGACAAAAUGUCAGAAGGAUAUCAUUUUCUAUCACAGGUGUUUAGUGUUUGUUUGUUUGUAAAUAGAACACAAAGCAAUAGGGUACCUUUUUUGAGAGAAGUGAUGUUAUCAGUACUUAGCAUAAUGACCAAGCAUCUAACAAGAACAGUUGCCAUUGAGACUGAGUAAUGUGUAUGUUAUAGGGAUUGCUUAAAACGUACAGAA